GGAGAGAUGGCUCAGUGGUUAAGGGCACUGGCUGCUCUUCCAGAGGACCUGGGUUCAAUUCCCAGCAUCCA
Neotoma lepida (desert woodrat) is the source of this 71-nucleotide non-coding RNA. The record is from Rfam. Lineage: Eukaryota; Metazoa; Chordata; Mammalia; Rodentia; Cricetidae.